This 253-nucleotide ribosomal RNA is filed under the name uncultured bacterium. Its description in RNAcentral is "partial 16S ribosomal RNA". It matches the Rfam family "Bacterial small subunit ribosomal RNA", at positions 524 to 776 of the family's 1533-position model. The record is from RNAcentral.
UACGGGGGGGGCAAGCGUUGUUCGGAAUUACUGGGCGUAAAGGGUUCGUAGGUGGCUUGCUAAGUCAGACGUGAAAUCCCUCAGCUUAACUGGGGAACUGCGUCUGAGACUGGUGAGCUUGAGUGCAGGAGAGGAACGCGGAAUUCCGGGUGUAGCGGUGAAAUGCGUAGAUAUCUGGAGGAACACCGGUGGCGAAGGCGGCGUUCUGGACCGGUACUGACGCUGAGGCGCGAAAGCGUGGGUAGCAAACGGG